GGUGUUUAGUCAGAUACCAGACCCAAAAAAUCAUGUCAUAAAGCAAUUGAGUGAGGAGAUAAGGCUUGAUACAACACAAGUUAAAAUUUGGUUUGAUAACAAAAGAUGCUACAUACAGGCCCAAAGGGAUAUGGAAGAACGUGAGAUUCGUUUGGAGAACUUGCAGAUGUGUUUCGAGUUGAAGAAACGAUUUUUUGCUACUUGCAACAAUCCUGAGCAACAACGAACAAUCUUACAGGACUUGCAAAAUGAAAAUGCUAAAUUAAGAGAAGAGAUUACGAUGAUAUCCAAUAUGAUUGAUCGUUUGAAGGAAGACCCUGAAAGAUACUUGUUCUUACUCCAACAAAAUUAUCUGCAUAACUACAAUGAUCCAAAUGGCCUAGAUUUGGAGCUCCGAUUAGAAUGUUACAAUGAUCCAAAUGGCCCAGAUUUGAAGCUCAAAUUGGGAUAAAUGUUCCCGCAAUUUUUCAAGAUUGAAUUGGAACUAACUGAAAGCUAUUUGAUGAUUGAAAAAUGAAGGAUAAAAGGAUUAACUGGUAUUCAACUAGUUUUUCUUAGUAUUCUCUCAAGUAUAAUCUAGCAACUGUUGUAGAACUUGGGUUUCAAUUAUCAUUUUAUUCAUGUAUUUACUUUAUGUUAUGUUAGAUUUUCCAAGUUCUUGCUUUUUAAGUGGUUUUAUUGAAAAAAAA
This is a long non-coding RNA of Lycium ferocissimum, 689 nucleotides long. RefSeq lists it as uncharacterized. The record is from RefSeq and is a predicted model, not a curated record. NCBI's taxonomy places the organism in Eukaryota, Viridiplantae, Streptophyta, Magnoliopsida, Solanales, Solanaceae. The transcript has 3 exons.